GACGAACGCUGGCGGCGUGCUUAACACAUGCAAGUCGAACGAUCAAAGCUCUCUUCGGAGAGUGCAUAGAGUGGCGCACGGGUGAGUAACACGUAAGUAAUCUACCUUCGAGUGGGGAAUAACAGUCGGAAACGACUGCUAAUACCGCAUAAUGCAGCGGCAUCGCAAGAUGACAGUUGUUAAAGGAGCAAUUCGCUUGAAGAGGAGCUUGCGGCAGAUUAGCUUGUUGGUAAGGUAACGGCUUACCAAGGCUACGAUCUGUAACCGGUCUAAGAGGACGGUCGGCCACACUGACACUGAAUAACGGGUCAGACUCCUACGGGAGGCAGCAGUCGGGAAUUUUGGGCAAUGGGCGAAAGCCUGACCCAGCAACGCCGCGUGAAGGAUGAAGUAUUCGGUAUGUAAACUUCGAAAGAAUGGGAAGAAUCAAUGACGGUACCAUUUAUAAGGUCCGGCUAACUACGUGCCAGCCGCCG
This 476-nucleotide ribosomal RNA is filed under the name uncultured bacterium. RNAcentral describes it as "bacterial SSU rRNA". It matches the Rfam family "Bacterial small subunit ribosomal RNA", at positions 28 to 517 of the family's 1533-position model. The record is from RNAcentral.